This 44-nucleotide non-coding RNA is filed under the name Schistosoma curassoni. Lineage: Eukaryota; Metazoa; Platyhelminthes; Trematoda; Strigeidida; Schistosomatidae. The record is from RNAcentral.
CUUAGAUGAUGAGUUCCAAAUAAGACGAAACGCGCGUCCUGGAC